AAUUCAUACUUUUCAAAAGUUCACUCUCCUAUUAUAAUAUAAAUAUAAUAAAUAAGACAGGCCCCACAACAAACACAUUACAUAGUAUCAUAAUUAUAAAUUUAAAGAUAUGUAAAUUUUAAGCAAAUAUAUAACAACUUCAAAAAGUCAAAUAAUAGAGGAUAAGAAAUAGAACUUACUAGAUUAAACACUACAAUCUACUGCUAUAUCCAAUUCCAGGUACAAAUCCAGCAACAAUAUUUAUUACUGAAAUAUAUUUUGAAUGAUCAGUUGAUAGAAUUUCAAAACUUGGAUUCAAUAGGGCUAAAAAGGUAUCAAGAAAUUAAAUUAAUCAUAUGAGUAAGCCUGGGGAGAAAUAAUAAACUACAACUUCAAAUAAAAUACAUAAUAGAACAAAAAUGAAAGCAAACAUAAAGAAAAGGUUCAAGUAUCGUAAUACAAUGCCUUCAACAAAUCAAGAACACUGAAUUGUCACGUUUAUGCAGCAAUCACAACUAUUUAUAUUUGACAAGCAAAUGUUACGGCUGAAGACAACAACAAUAACAACAACAGUAACAACAACAGCACCAGCAGAUGCAAAAUAGCUACAACACCACAUGCAUAGGUAGAUGACAAUGAGAGGUGAGAAUCCCUUAAUUUUACAUAAUAGAAUCAUUUACUAAGAAGCCCUCCUCAUAAUUUGUUAUAGACAAUUCAGGCCAAUAUUUAAAAAAUCAGCUAUCAGAACAUAAAGAUAUAUAAGUUACAGAUUAUCUUUAAAAUUCAUACACUAACACUCAUUUAACUAGAAACAAAAAUUCACACACAGACACAUGAAUAUAAAUCAAAACUACCUAGAAUAAUAAAAAAAAGUAACAACAUUAUGCAAGCACGAUUACAACUCAAAAUAUUUUUAAAGACUAUCUUCUUGGGAAAUUAUUUAGUAAAUUGAUUACCGAAAUAUAUGCAAUACAUGCAAAUACAUUUCAAUUUUUUAGAAAUUAUUUAUUACUUUACAUAAAAGUAGAAUGAAUAGGCAAAAUUAAAUACAUGCAAAUGCAACAAUGACUCACCAGUGGGUGUGAAGCUUCAAUUCACCAUCAAGGCUAGGGUUUCAACUUCGGCAACAACGAUUUAGGUCUUCUUGCACAGUAAGCGAUUGGGUUUCUUUCAGUCAAUAAAGGUACUGUGGCUUUUGUUCUCAUUCCAAUUUGGGUUUCAAUUAGCACUAACUUCAUCCCAGCAAAGGGAGACGAUUCAAUGACAAUGCAACAAAGAGAGACAAUUGAGUGAAGCAACCUGAACGAUUUUGAAAUGAUGGGUGUUUGGGUGUCAUUAGUUAGCUAUGGCUGGCCUUUGAGGGUUUGUUGUAAGUGUGCUAAUUGAUUUUGAGAUUCCACAAUGACGCUUGCAAAUUUUUUGAACACUUGGAAAAAUUUUUGCCUCUUUUCUCACAAAUUUUUCCCCCCAUUACAAAAAG
RNAcentral lists this long non-coding RNA (1459 nucleotides) under Citrus x clementina. RNAcentral's name for it is "Citrus clementina (C. clementina) long non-coding RNA (CCLE_LNC004079)". The record is from RNAcentral. Lineage: Eukaryota; Viridiplantae; Streptophyta; Magnoliopsida; Sapindales; Rutaceae.